GACGAACGCUGGCGGCGUGCUUAACACAUGCAAGUCGAACGGAAAGGCCUGCUUUCCCUUGUGGAUUGCGGGUACUCGAGUGACGAACGGGUGAGUAACACGUGAGUGAUCUGCCCCCAACUUGGGUAUAAGCCUGGGAAACUGGGUCUAAUUCCCGAUAGGACUGCAGGGUGGUGCCUGUGGUGGAAAACGAUUUUCUAGUGGUUGGGGAUGAGCUCGCGGCCUAUCAGCUUGUUGGUGGGGUAAUGGCCUACCAAGGCGGCGACGGGUAGCCGGCCUGAGAGGGUGGACGGCCACAUUGUGACUGAGAUACGGCCCAGACUCCUACGGGAGGCAGCAGUGGGGAAUAUUGCACAAUGGGCGGAAGCCUGAUGCAGCGACGCCGCGUGGGGGAUGACGGCCUUCGGGUUGUAAACUCCUUUCGACCGCGAGGAAGCCACCUGGUUGGAAGGGUGGUGACGGUAGUGGUAGAAGAAGCACCGGCUAACUACGUG
Molecule: ribosomal RNA, 494 nt
Filed under: uncultured bacterium
Lineage: Bacteria
Description: partial 16S ribosomal RNA
Rfam family: Bacterial small subunit ribosomal RNA
Source: RNAcentral